RNAcentral lists this unclassified non-coding RNA (1776 nucleotides) under Thrips palmi. RNAcentral describes it as "gamma-aminobutyric acid receptor subunit beta, transcript variant X7". Lineage: Eukaryota; Metazoa; Arthropoda; Insecta; Thysanoptera; Thripidae. The record is from RNAcentral.
AGGCAGCAGUGGGGCCGCUCCGGCGCACGGCAGGGCUGUGCCAGGGCUGUGGCGACCGCUGCCUUCCUCUGGGCUCCCCGCAGCCUGCCUCUCGGCCUGCAUGGCCUGCAUGGCCAGCUUGGCCAGCUUGCGGGCAUGGUGCAGCGCGUGACCUAGUCGGCCAGGAUGGCGGCGUGGCUGCUGGGGCCGCGGCCGGACCUGGCCCGGGGCCUCGGCCUGGGCCGCCUCGGACUGCACGGCCUCCUCAUGCUCAUCGCCGCCUCCACCAGCCUGCUGCACCCCGGCGGCAGGCCUCCACCCCUCGCCAUGGCAGCGACUGGCGGAGGCAGCAUGCUAGGCGACGUCAACAUUUCUGCCAUUUUAGAUUCUUUCAGUGUCAGUUACGACAAAAGAGUAAGGCCGAAUUAUGGAGGUCCUCCGGUUGAGGUGGGCGUCACGAUGUACGUUCUCAGUAUCAGCUCCUUGUCGGAGGUCCAAAUGGACUUCACGCUUGAUUUUUACUUUCGCCAAUUCUGGACGGACCCCCGGCUGGCCUUCCGGAAGAGGCCGGGCGUCGAGACGCUCAGCGUGGGCUCCGAGUUCAUCAAAAACAUCUGGGUGCCCGACACGUUCUUCGUGAACGAGAAGCAGUCCUACUUCCACAUCGCCACCACCAGCAAUGAGUUCAUCCGGAUCCAUCACUCGGGCUCCAUCACCAGAUCCAUUCGGUUAACGAUCACCGCGUCGUGCCCCAUGAACCUCCAGUACUUCCCCAUGGACCGGCAGUUGUGCCACAUCGAGAUAGAGAGCUUCGGGUAUACAAUGAGGGACAUCCGCUAUAAAUGGAACGAGGGGCCCAACUCGGUGGGGGUGUCGAACGAGGUUUCUCUGCCGCAGUUUAAAGUCCUGGGGCACCGUCAGAGAGCUAUGGAAAUUAGUCUGACCACAGGAAACUACUCUCGGCUGGCGUGCGAGAUCCAGUUCGUGCGGAGUAUGGGCUACUACCUCAUCCAGAUCUACAUCCCCUCGGGGCUCAUCGUCAUCAUCUCCUGGGUCAGCUUCUGGCUUAACCGGAACGCGACGCCCGCCCGAGUGUCGCUGGGAGUCACCACCGUGCUCACCAUGACCACGCUCAUGUCCUCCACCAACGCCGCGCUGCCAAAGAUUUCCUACGUCAAAUCCAUCGACGUGUACCUGGGCACCUGUUUCGUGAUGGUGUUCGCUUCGCUUCUAGAGUAUGCAACGGUCGGCUACAUGGCCAAGAGGAUCCAGAUGAGGAAGAACCGGUUCCUGGCCAUCCAGAAGAUAGCCGAGCAGAAGAAGGCGGGGGCCGAGCUGCCGCCGGAGGGGGAACACGCUCCGAAGCAGACGGCCGUGCGGUUCAUAGUUCACGACCCUAGGGCGUACUCGAAGGGCGGCGAGCUGGUGAGCUCGGUGAACGGUCGCGGCGGGGAUUGCGAAAGUAGGCCCGCCUCGCAGCCGCUGCUGCUGCCGCACCCCACCAAGGACUACAACAAGCUGCUCGGCAUCACGCCCAGCGACAUAGACAAGUACUCGCGCAUCAUCUUCCCCGUGUGCUUCGUGUGCUUCAACCUCAUGUACUGGAUCAUCUACCUGCACAUCAGCGACGUGGUCGCCGACGACCUGGUGCUGCUGCAGGAGGACAAGUAGUGUGUGUGGUCCGACUGGUCCGGCCGGUGCGACCGGUCCGACCUGUCCGUGUGCGGUGCGGUUCCUGCAGCACGAGCAGCAGCAGCGGCAGCAGAGCCAGCCGCCCACGCCCAAGGCCAGCCACCC